AACGCGAAGAACCUUACCCGGGCUUGACAUCCUGUGACAUCCUAAGAGAUUAGGUUUUCUAGCAAUAGAACACAGAGACAGGUGCUGCAUGGCUGUCGUCAGCUCGUGCCGUGAGAUGUUGGGUUAAGUCCCGCAACGAGCGCAACCCUUAUUGCCAGUUGCCAUCAUUUAGUUGGGCACUCUGGCGAAACCGCCCCGGAUAACGGGGAGGAAGGUGGGGAUGACGUCAAGUCCUCAUGGCCUUUAUGUCCAGGGCUACACACGUGCUACAAUGGUUGGUACAAACCGUCGCAAACCCGCGAGGGGGAGCUAAUCGGAAAAAGCCAAUCCCAGUCCGGAUUGGAGUCUGCAACUCGACUCCAUGAAGCUGGAAUCGCUAGUAAUCGCAGAUCAGCACGCUGCGGUGAAUACGUUCCCGGGCCUUGUACACACCGACAUA
This 439-nucleotide ribosomal RNA is filed under the name uncultured bacterium. RNAcentral describes it as "bacterial SSU rRNA". It matches the Rfam family "Bacterial small subunit ribosomal RNA", at positions 958 to 1397 of the family's 1533-position model. The record is from RNAcentral.